UAUUGUUUAUCUAUAGUAAUGAUAUUGAACAGAUUUUGAUUUCGUUGUUCUUUUAAUAAUUGAACGAAUUUGUAAAAAAUAGUAUUUUAAUUAUAGCUGGCCUAUUAUUAUAGUGGGAAACUCUAUAUCUUCCUUAUAUCAAAUGCAAUUAGGAAAAAAACAUAUGUUAGUACAGGUCAGAUGUGUAUAAAUUUUGUUUGUUAUUUAUAAGAUACGAAAGUGUGAGUGUGAUCUACACAAGAACCAUUUAUAUUAAAAUAUUUAUGGCUUAAGAUGUUUAAGAUUUAGUCCAGUUUACUUCCAAAUUAUCAAUUACAUGGUUUAACAAGUGACACAUUUAAUAUACAUGUAUCAUAUAAAAGAAGAACUCUUUGUGUAGUUACAUUAAUGUGUUAAUAAAACCAUGAUUGCAGUGUGAUUAAUAAUUGGUUGUGAUGGGUUGCUGUUACUUCUAAAUCACUAUAUUCAUAGAUUGUAUAACUUGUUAAAAUAGACGGCCUAUCGAUACAAUACAACACAUCAUUUUCAUUAUCAAGUGAUAUCUAUCAUAUUAUGUUAUUUCAAAGGGAGGCUUGCUUUAUUUCUUAGUUUUUAGAUUUUGUGGAGAAGAAAAAAAGUAUAAAUUUUUGUUUUGUUUUCAAAAGAUAUUCAUAUUAUGUUUGACUGGAAUAGUGAAUAUGUUAACCUUUGACCUUAAAAAGUUGUUGAGACUAGGGGCAUCUUUCAUUGAUACUGGUCUUUGAACUUUUGAACACUUGAUUCACCUUUUUUUUUUGGGGGGGGGGGUAACAAAUUUCUGUUUAAUAUUUUGGAAAGACAAUUUAUCAAAUAAUCAAUUUUUAAUACAUUUCCUUCUUGAAUAAUUGAAACAAUCUUUAAAAUAUUAAAUGCAAUACAUCUUGAAGAAACAGUGAAAUUAGGACUUUAUCUUAUGUUCAGUCAAGUUCAACCUGAGUAGAUGGAUCAGUGCCUAACAUGAUAAAUAGCAAUUAAUAAAUGUAAAAUGGAACUUACUUCCUGGUAAGCAAUUGAUUAACUUACAAAUGGUUUAUACUACAAUAUGAUGCACUGUUAUUUUUAUUACCAGACAAUAAAGUUACUGUGUGAUUUGGGAAAUGAGAAAACACAAAAUUUUGAUUUAUGUAUGAAUAAUGAACAUAAGAGACAAGUUCAGCCAGGAUGUUGUUUGGAAAUUUAUUACCAAUCAGUAAAUCUGAAAAUUAUAAAUUUAAGGGUAUGAAAUUUAGGCUGCAUACAAAAAAUCAACAUCGUUUUUCUUGCAAAUUUGCUAUGUAUAUUUCAAACAUAUCAACUGUUUAAAUUAUUUCACUCUGUCAUACUCUUGUGAUGACUAAAGAGGGUGACUAUCAGAAUUUAUCUGUAAAAAAAUAUUUAGUCUAGCAGAUCCUUAACAUGUAAAUCUAAUUUCAAUUUGCAUUGAAACUUAACAUGAUCAUUAUAUUUCUUUCUAAAUCCAGUAUAUAUCUACAUGGAUGACAACUUUGAAAUUAACAUUUAUAGUAAGUUAUUCAAUGACUUGAUUAAUUUUAAAGAUAUGUGAAAUUUUCAGUUUUCUCAUUUGUCAAUUCCCACACUCUAUAUUACAAUAGAUAAUUGCCAGAAGUAUGGUGCUCAUAUACAUAAAGUAGGAUGGUACACUUGUUAGCCUUGUUAGGGGAUUAUUUGUUAAAACAUUUCAUUGUUAUGUAUAGGUAUAUAUUUUCAUUAUACUAUGCAUUUUAUUUAUUUAUAAUAAAAGAAACUAAUAUCGUUUGCAUUAUAUAAGUUUUUACACACACAUUUAGAAUAGCAUAGUGUCCAAAGGUCCAUAUCCUGUUUGAUAUGAAAAUUCAAAAAGAGACUAGCCCUUGGCUGCAGCAGUUUGUCUUGCCCUGAUAUUGUGAAGGGUAAACUGGUAUUUCUUUCAAGGACUUUCUAAAUGGAAUCACCUUGCUGGUUAAAUGAAGUUAAAAAUACUGAAAUUAAGAGGGGG
Molecule: long non-coding RNA, 1993 nt
Filed under: Mytilus galloprovincialis (Mediterranean mussel)
Lineage: Eukaryota; Metazoa; Mollusca; Bivalvia; Mytilida; Mytilidae
Source: RNAcentral